Hydra vulgaris (swiftwater hydra) is the source of this 1077-nucleotide non-coding RNA. Lineage: Eukaryota; Metazoa; Cnidaria; Hydrozoa; Anthoathecata; Hydridae. The record is from RefSeq and is a predicted model, not a curated record.
UCUAAUAGAGUUUAAUACAAAACUGUGAUACUGAAAAGUAAAAAACAAAAAAAAAAACAAACAAAAAAAAAAAGUAAAAAAGUAAAAUGUAACAAGAAUGCGAAUAAACAAAUGUUUUAUCUAUGAAAGAAGAGUACAUAACUCCGGAAAAAUUAAUCAUACGCAAAACGAGUCUUAUUAAAAACCAAAUGUUUACCAAACCCUGAUCUUGAUAUAAAACAUACCCUAACACUUAGAGUCAGGGUUAGAGUAUGGAUUUCAAUAACAGUUAUUUCGCGUGACUCGUUUUUCACGGGCUUAUAAAGGGGGUUGCCUAAAAUACACGUUCGCCCAAACUUUUAAUUUACUUUUUUACUUUAACUUUUAUUAAAUUUUAAAAUUUUUAUCUGAAAAAUUUUUAAAAUUACCAUUAGUUGUUUUGUUCAAAUAUUUUUCGUCACUAUUAUUUCUGACCUUUGCUUUGUUAUUAUGGUUGUUAAUAUACUCACGGUUUAUUUUAGGUGCAACACGCAACUAUAUGGCUGUUUAAAAAAUUUAUUGCAAAACAAUUUUGCUUAUCACAUUUUCUAACAUAAUGGUGAAAACUGUUAGCAAAUAAAAAAAUUGAAUUAUAAAUCCGGAAAACAAGCAAACUCCAUCAAAUUAAAAAAACUCUCAGAUAUUACUACUAAAAUUAUUUUUAUGUUUGUUUUAGUAUAGCCCACAUAGGAAAUUAAGAUUUUUACGUUCAAAAUUGCAUUAUCGUGUUAAUCGUGUUUGUUUACGCAUUUAUUGGGUGCACUCGAUGACAAAAGGUUUUGGUUAAAAAGGUUAAAAAACAGAUGCAUCUCAAAAAUAUAAAAAAAAUAACCUGCAUAAUCGGCACUUAAAAGGUUGAGAUGCUAAAUCUAAAUGACAACAAGGAUAGUCAGGAUAUUCUGAACGUGAUUGAGCAUCGAAAUGAGCGUGAUAAUGACCAAAAGGUUUGUAUCUUACAACCUGUAAUGGUUCUCCACCAGCUAUGAUAUAUGCAGGAAGAUUCGUUAGUUUUGUUACCCUGAUGAAAAAAGUAAUAUAUGCAAAUAAAGUCUAAACUUA